RNAcentral lists this ribosomal RNA (372 nucleotides) under uncultured organism. Its description in RNAcentral is "partial 16S ribosomal RNA". It matches the Rfam family "Bacterial small subunit ribosomal RNA", at positions 527 to 895 of the family's 1533-position model. The record is from RNAcentral.
AGAGGGUGCGAGCGUUAAUCGGAAUUACUGGGCGUAAAGCGCACGUAGGUGGAUAUUUAAGUCGGAUGUGAAAUUCCUGGGCUCAACCUGGGCAUGUCAUUCGAAACUGGAUAACUAGAGUAUAGUAGAGGGAAGUGGAAUUUCCGGUGUAGCGGUGAAAUGCGUAGAUAUCGGAAGGAACACCAGUGGCGAAGGCGGCUUCCUGGACUAAUACUGACACUGAGGAGCGAAAGCGUGGGGAGCAAACAGGGAUUAGAUACCCUGGUAGUCCACGCUGUAAACGAUGAGAACUAGCCCGUUGGGAAGUUAAACUUUUUAGUGGCGCAGCUAACGCGAUAAGUUCUCCGCCUGGGGGAGUACGGCCGCAAGGCU